RNAcentral lists this transfer RNA (73 nucleotides) under Planctomycetales bacterium. Its description in RNAcentral is "tRNA-Arg". It matches the Rfam family "tRNA". From Rfam's summary of the family: Transfer RNA (tRNA) molecules are approximately 80 nucleotides in length. The record is from RNAcentral. Lineage: Bacteria; Pseudomonadati; Planctomycetota; Planctomycetia; Planctomycetales.
GGCUCGAUGGUGAAACGGACGAUCAUCCCGUGCUUCUAACGCGGGGUUCCAGGUUCGAAUCCUGGUCGGGCCG